CCUAAUAAUCAGGUUAAA
RNAcentral lists this non-coding RNA (18 nucleotides) under Arabidopsis thaliana (thale cress). The record is from RNAcentral. Lineage: Eukaryota; Viridiplantae; Streptophyta; Magnoliopsida; Brassicales; Brassicaceae.